GUAGUCUACAGGUCAGGUCAGUGGUAGUUCAGUAGGCUACAGGCCAGGUCAGGUCAGUGGUAGUUCAGUAGGCUACAGGCCAGGUCAGUGGUAGUUCAGUAGGCUACAGGCCAGGUCAGGUCAGUGGUAGUUCAGUAGGCUACAGGCCAGGCCAGUGGUAGUUCAGUAGGCUACAGGCCAGGCCAGUGGUAGUUCAGUAGGCUACAGGCCAGGUCAGUGGUAGUUCAGUAGGCUACAGGCCAGGUCCGGUCAGUGGUAGUUCAGUAGGCUGCAGGCCAGGCCAGUGGUAGUUCAGUAGGCUACAGGCCAGGUCAGGUCAGUGGUAGUUCAGUAGGCUACAGGCCAGGUCAGUGGUAGUUCAGUAGGCUACAGGCCAGGUCCGGUCAGUGGUAGUUCAGUAGGCUGCAGGCCAGGCCAGUGGUAGUUCAGUAGGCUACAGGCCAGGUCAGGUCAGUGGUAGUUCAGUAGGCUACAGGCAAGGUCAGGUCAGUGGUAGUUCAGUAGGCUACAGGCCAGGCCAGUGGUAGUUCAGUAGGCUACAGGCCAGGCCAGUGGUAGUUCAGUAGGCUACAGGCCAGGCCAGUGGUAGUUCAGUAGGCUACAGGCCAGGUCAGUGGUAG
RNAcentral lists this long non-coding RNA (620 nucleotides) under Salmo salar (Atlantic salmon). Its description in RNAcentral is "lncRNA (ENSSSAG00000091184.1, ENSSSAG00000104114.1)". The record is from RNAcentral. Lineage: Eukaryota; Metazoa; Chordata; Actinopteri; Salmoniformes; Salmonidae.